UACGUAGGGGGCAAGCGUUGUCCGGAUUUAUUGGGCGUAAAGAGCGUGUAGGCGGCCAUGUAGGUCCGUUGUGAAAACUCGAGGCUCAACCUCGAGACGCCGAUGGAAACCAUGUGGCUAGAGUCCGGAAGAGGAGAGUGGAAUUCCUGGUGUAGCGGUGAAAUGCGCAGAUAUCAGGAGGAACACCGGUGGCGAAGGCGGUUCUCUGGGCAUGAUCUGACGCUGAGGAGCGAAAGUGUGGGGAGCGAACAGG
RNAcentral lists this ribosomal RNA (253 nucleotides) under uncultured bacterium. RNAcentral describes it as "partial 16S ribosomal RNA". It matches the Rfam family "Bacterial small subunit ribosomal RNA", at positions 524 to 776 of the family's 1533-position model. The record is from RNAcentral.